This 2924-nucleotide ribosomal RNA is filed under the name Staphylococcus aureus. RNAcentral describes it as "23S rRNA". The stretch from base 569 to 2924 matches the Rfam family "Bacterial large subunit ribosomal RNA", at positions 1 to 2356 of the family's 2925-position model. The record is from RNAcentral. Lineage: Bacteria; Bacillati; Bacillota; Bacilli; Caryophanales; Staphylococcaceae.
CGCUAGUAAUCGUAGAUCAGCAUGCUACGGUGAAUACGUUCCCGGGUCUUGUACACACCGCCCGUCACACCACGAGAGUUUGUAACACCCGAAGCCGGUGGAGUAACCUUUUAGGAGCUAGCCGUCGAAGGUGGGACAAAUGAUUGGGGUGAAGUCGUAACAAGGUAGCCGUAUCGGAAGGUGCGGCUGGAUCACCUCCUUUCUAAGGAUAUAUUCGGAACAUCUUCUUCAGAAGAUGCGGAAUAACGUGACAUAUUGUAUUCAGUUUUGAAUGUUUAUUUAACAUUCAAAUAUUUUUUGGUUAAAGUGAUAUUGCUUAUGAAAAUAAAGCAGUAUGCGAGCGCUUGACUAAAAAGAAAUUGUACAUUGAAAACUAGAUAAGUAAGUAAAAUAUAGAUUUUACCAAGCAAAACCGAGUGAAUAAAGAGUUUUAAAUAAGCUUGAAUUCAUAAGAAAUAAUCGCUAGUGUUCGAAAGAACACUCACAAGAUUAAUAACGCGUUUAAAUCUUUUUAUAAAAGAACGUAACUUCAUGUUAACGUUUGACUUAUAAAAAUGGUGGAAACAUAGAUUAAGUUAUUAAGGGCGCACGGUGGAUGCCUUGGCACUAGAAGCCGAUGAAGGACGUUACUAACGACGAUAUGCUUUGGGGAGCUGUAAGUAAGCUUUGAUCCAGAGAUUUCCGAAUGGGGAAACCCAGCAUGAGUUAUGUCAUGUUAUCGAUAUGUGAAUACAUAGCAUAUCAGAAGGCACACCCGGAGAACUGAAACAUCUUAGUACCCGGAGGAAGAGAAAGAAAAUUCGAUUCCCUUAGUAGCGGCGAGCGAAAUGGGAAGAGCCCAAACCAACAAGCUUGCUUGUUGGGGUUGUAGGACACUCUAUACGGAGUUACAAAGGACGACAUUAGACGAAUCAUCUGGAAAGAUGAAUCAAAGAAGGUAAUAAUCCUGUAGUCGAAAAUGUUGUCUCUCUUGAGUGGAUCCUGAGUACGACGGAGCACGUGAAAUUCCGUCGGAAUCUGGGAGGACCAUCUCCUAAGGCUAAAUACUCUCUAGUGACCGAUAGUGAACCAGUACCGUGAGGGAAAGGUGAAAAGCACCCCGGAAGGGGAGUGAAAUAGAACCUGAAACCGUGUGCUUACAAGUAGUCAGAGCCCGUUAAUGGGUGAUGGCGUGCCUUUUGUAGAAUGAACCGGCGAGUUACGAUUUGAUGCAAGGUUAAGCAGUAAAUGUGGAGCCGUAGCGAAAGCGAGUCUGAAUAGGGCGUUUAGUAUUUGGUCGUAGACCCGAAACCAGGUGAUCUACCCUUGGUCAGGUUGAAGUUCAGGUAACACUGAAUGGAGGACCGAACCGACUUACGUUGAAAAGUGAGCGGAUGAACUGAGGGUAGCGGAGAAAUUCCAAUCGAACCUGGAGAUAGCUGGUUCUCUCCGAAAUAGCUUUAGGGCUAGCCUCAAGUGAUGAUUAUUGGAGGUAGAGCACUGUUUGGACGAGGGGCCCCUCUCGGGUUACCGAAUUCAGACAAACUCCGAAUGCCAAUUAAUUUAACUUGGGAGUCAGAACAUGGGUGAUAAGGUCCGUGUUCGAAAGGGAAACAGCCCAGACCACCAGCUAAGGUCCCAAAAUAUAUGUUAAGUGGAAAAGGAUGUGGCGUUGCCCAGACAACUAGGAUGUUGGCUUAGAAGCAGCCAUCAUUUAAAGAGUGCGUAAUAGCUCACUAGUCGAGUGACACUGCGCCGAAAAUGUACCGGGGCUAAACAUAUUACCGAAGCUGUGGAUUGUCCUUUGGACAAUGGUAGGAGAGCGUUCUAAGGGCGUUGAAGCAUGAUCGUAAGGACAUGUGGAGCGCUUAGAAGUGAGAAUGCCGGUGUGAGUAGCGAAAGACGGGUGAGAAUCCCGUCCACCGAUUGACUAAGGUUUCCAGAGGAAGGCUCGUCCGCUCUGGGUUAGUCGGGUCCUAAGCUGAGGCCGACAGGCGUAGGCGAUGGAUAACAGGUUGAUAUUCCUGUACCACCUAUAAUCGUUUUAAUCGAUGGGGGACGCAGUAGGAUAGGCGAAGCGUGCGAUUGGAUUGCACGUCUAAGCAGUAAGGCUGAGUAUUAGGCAAAUCCGGUACUCGUUAAGGCUGAGCUGUGAUGGGGAGAAGACAUUGUGUCUUCGAGUCGUUGAUUUCACACUGCCGAGAAAAGCCUCUAGAUAGAAAAUAGGUGCCCGUACCGCAAACCGACACAGGUAGUCAAGAUGAGAAUUCUAAGGUGAGCGAGCGAACUCUCGUUAAGGAACUCGGCAAAAUGACCCCGUAACUUCGGGAGAAGGGGUGCUCUUUAGGGUUAACGCCCAGAAGAGCCGCAGUGAAUAGGCCCAAGCGACUGUUUAUCAAAAACACAGGUCUCUGCUAAACCGUAAGGUGAUGUAUAGGGGCUGACGCCUGCCCGGUGCUGGAAGGUUAAGAGGAGUGGUUAGCUUCUGCGAAGCUACGAAUCGAAGCCCCAGUAAACGGCGGCCGUAACUAUAACGGUCCUAAGGUAGCGAAAUUCCUUGUCGGGUAAGUUCCGACCCGCACGAAAGGCGUAACGAUUUGGGCACUGUCUCAACGAGAGACUCGGUGAAAUCAUAGUACCUGUGAAGAUGCAGGUUACCCGCGACAGGACGGAAAGACCCCGUGGAGCUUUACUGUAGCCUGAUAUUGAAAUUCGGCACAGCUUGUACAGGAUAGGUAGGAGCCUUUGAAACGUGAGCGCUAGCUUACGUGGAGGCGCUGGUGGGAUACUACCCUAGCUGUGUUGGCUUUCUAACCCGCACCACUUAUCGUGGUGGGAGACAGUGUCAGGCGGGCAGUUUGACUGGGGCGGUCGCCUCCUAAAAGGUAACGGAGGCGCUCAAAGGUUCCCUCAGAAUGGUUGGAAAUCAUUCAUAGAGUGUAAAG